Molecule: long non-coding RNA, 849 nt
Organism: Malus domestica (apple)
Lineage: Eukaryota; Viridiplantae; Streptophyta; Magnoliopsida; Rosales; Rosaceae
Source: RefSeq, a predicted model, not a curated record
ACUGUUUUUGUACGUUGGUUUGACAAUUAGAGUGAGUGUGAGCGAGUCUAAGUCAAGUGAAGUAGCCAAGUGCAUAUCGUAUCAUGGUGGUCAAUCUGCAAGCCUUCCCUGUGUGAAGAUGACUGGGAAGUACACAAUCUGGUUAAUCCCCGCCACCCCAUGUUCAUCUGCGUCUUCCUUAAGUAUGCGAAUGUACCCAUCUUCUCCCCAUUUCGGUCCCCACGAGUUCUUCACGAUCCAGUACUCUCCCUCUUCACAAACCCCCCACCCCACUAGCAGCAUAUAGUGUACUCCGCGAGUUUUGCCCGAUAUCCUUCUGUAUAUACCCUGCGAUCAAACCACAGGGAAGAAGCAAUCAAUGGAGGAAGCAGCAAGGCAAGUAGAUGAAUCAGUGGAAGAAGCAGCAAGACAAGUAGAUGAAUCAGUGGAAGAAGCAGCGAGACAAGUAGAUCAAUCACUAGAAUGCCUGCAUAUCAAUGAAAUUGAGAUUGGGUUUGCUCUGGAGAAGCUUUAUGCUGAUGGUAUGGUGAAGCAGUAGAUAGUACCCUGCAACACUAUCUGAUUCAUUGAGGAUUGCAGAAUGAUGCUGCAGAUUCAAACUUGGUAUUUUGAUGUUUACAGUUGGGAUGUGAUUACUUAAUUUGUAUGUUAUUUUGAUGUUUGGACUUGGGAAUUUGGAUGCCUUCUUCUAUAUAUUGGGUGUAGCACCACCUAGGAAUACAUUAGAUUGAAGAUGCAGUACAAAAAGUUAUAUUCAAUCUAUUGACUUUCUACUACCAGCUCAAAACUAUUGCUGCUCUAGAUUUGUACUGCUUACUCUUGUUACUGAUCAAAAUUUGUUCUGCUAUA